Molecule: ribosomal RNA, 1367 nt
Filed under: uncultured bacterium
Lineage: Bacteria
Description: bacterial SSU rRNA
Rfam family: Bacterial small subunit ribosomal RNA
Source: RNAcentral
GAGUUUGAUCCUGGCUCAGGACGAACGCUGGCGGCGCGCCUAACACAUGCAAGUCGAACGAGAGAGAGGGAGCUUGCUUCCUCAAUCGAGUGGCGAACGGGUGAGUAACGCGUGAGGAACCUGCCUCAAAGAGGGGGACAACAGUUGGAAACGACUGCUAAUACCGCAUAAGCCCACAGCUCGGCAUCGAGCAGAGGGAAAAGGAGCAAUCCGCUUUGAGAUGGCCUCGCGUCCGAUUAGCUGGUUGGUGAGGUAAUGGCCCACCAAGGCGACGAUCGGUAGCCGGACUGAGAGGUUGAACGGCCACAUUGGGACUGAGACACGGCCCAGACUCCUACGGGAGGCAGCAGUGGGGAAUAUUGCACAAUGGGGGAAACCCUGAUGCAGCGACGCCGCGUGGAGGAAGAAGGUCUUCGGAUUGUAAACUCCUGUUGUUGAGGAAGAUAAUGACGGUACUCAACAAGGAAGUGACGGCUAACUACGUGCCAGCAGCCGCGGUAAAACGUAGGUCACAAGCGUUGUCCGGAAUUACUGGGUGUAAAGGGAGCGCAGGCGGGAAGACAAGUUGGAAGUGAAAUCUAUGGGCUCAACCCAUAAACUGCUUUCAAAACUGUUUUUCCUGAGUAGUGCAGAGGUAGGCGGAAUUCCCGGUGUAGCGGUGGAAUGCGUAGAUAUCGGGAGGAACACCAGUGGCGAAGGCGGCCUACUGGGCACCAACUGACGCUGAGGCUCGAAAGUGUGGGUAGCAAACAGGAUUAGAUACCUGGUAGUCCACACCGUAAACGAUGAUUACUAGGUGUUGGAGGAUUGACCCCUUCAGUGCCGCAGUUAACACAAUAAGUAAUCCACCUGGGGAGUACGACCGCAAGGUUGAAACUCAAAGGAAUUGACGGGGGCCCGCACAAGCAGUGGAGUAUGUGGUUUAAUUCGACGCAACGCGAAGAACCUUACCAAGUCUUGACAUCCUGCGACGCACAUAGAAAUAUGUGUUUCCUUCGGGACGCAGAGACAGGUGGUGCAUGGUUGCCGUCAGCUCGUGUCGUGAGAUGUUGGGUUAAGUCCCGCAACGAGCGCAACCCUUACUGUCAGUUACUACGCAAGAGGACUCUGGCAGGACUGCCGUUGACAAAACGGAGGAAGGUGGGGAUGACGUCAAAUCAUCAUGCCCUUUAUGACUUGGGCUACACACGUACUACAAUGGCGUUAAACAAAGAGAAGCAAGACCGCGAGGUGGAGCAAAACUCAGAAACAACGUCCCAGUUCGGACUGCAGGCUGCAACUCGCCUGCACGAAGUCGGAAUUGCUAGUAAUCGUGGAUCAGCAUGCCACGGUGAAUACGUUCCCGGGCCUUGUACACACCGCCCGUC